AGAGGCAGAAGUUUGCGCCGUACUAAAGGAGGCGGAGCUAGCGAGGUAGCUUCCGGAAGGUCUUUUCCUUUGUUUUGAUGGACGGGCGCGUUUAUUGCCCUUCGGUUCCCCUCUUCCCUUCCUACUCUCUCACUUCUCUCCCCUCGGCCGCCGCGUCGGCUUUUCCUCCUCGACUUAACGCCGUCAAAGUGGGCGGAUCGGAACCAGAUUGAAGGCGUGGCUCGAUGGCAGGCGGGGUCUGAGGCGUGACCGCGGCGGGUCGCUCGGGGUCAGAACCUCGUCCGGGCUCGUCGCCUUAAGAGAACGAAGAGACUGUGGCAACCCGCUCAGAGGCCGCCGCUAGGAGCGGCCGUUGUUACAGACGGCGUCCGUCCGGCUCCGCCCAAACGUCCCGCCUCAUUGAACCUCCACAGUCGGCUCGCUAGUCAUUUGUGGGCCGGUUUUCUGACUCCGCUGAGAUGCUAAUUGGACGGUAGCGCGUCCCCUUGUAAUGAACCCGUCCGGUCGUCCAAUAAUCCCACUUUGAUGGCUUUUGGUCCCUCGUAGCUCCGCCCCUUACGGGCGAGCCCAUGUUUAGGGGUCAUUUGGGCCACAAAGCCUGUGAAAGCCAUACAGACUAUUUAGCUUCUGCCUCCUUUCCCAUCUCCUGCUCCCCUUUACUCUGUUGUAUACUCUCGUAUUUAUUGACUCAUAUGAAGUAUUUACAUCACUGGUCACUAACACUGAGCUUCUCCUUCUACAUGACGACCUUCUGCUUCCUGUCGGAUCUUUUCUUUGAUGGUUUUUUAAAACAUACAACAGAUUUAAGUCUGUUGCUGUUUUCUUCUCAUUUGAAAUGUGUUGUUUAAAUUAUUUUUUAACUUAUUCAGAGAAGUUUUACGUUUAGAGUUUUAGAAAACAAAAGAUCCUUUUCCCAACGUGGCUGCAAGGUAAAUACCUUCUUUUUUAUAGUUGUUCACGGAACAUUUAUGCUGAUAACCAGAUGUUUUGUUGGAUAGAAGAGUAGUGUUUUCACUUGUGAGCUCACACACACACACACACACACACACACACACACUCACACACACACACACACACACACACACACACACACACACACACACACACACACACACACCUUUCAGAUAGAAACAUCUGGAAUGGUUCAUUUGAUGGAAAAUAAAAACACAGCUGGCUCUGUGAUGUACAGUCGUGGGGAAUUUCACCUUUUCAGUCUUUAGGUUUCUUUUUUGCCUCCAGAGCACAGUUCAUAGUACAAUCACGGUGUAUAAAAACCUCAAUGUGUGUGUGUGUGUGUCAUAGAUACACACACACACACACACACAUCAAUAUAAA
Molecule: non-coding RNA, 1335 nt
Organism: Gasterosteus aculeatus aculeatus (three-spined stickleback)
Lineage: Eukaryota; Metazoa; Chordata; Actinopteri; Perciformes; Gasterosteidae
Source: RefSeq, a predicted model, not a curated record